GCCCCUGAAGUGAGGAACGAAUAGUGGUGGGCCAUUGAUUCUCGGAUGGGGACCAAAGAACAAUUAUAAGUCUUGUUCGGACGCCCUUCAUCUUUUGGACUCGCCAUCCAACCCUCAUUAACCAUCCGGUUCAUAUCUCAGGAUCCCACGUCCCAGACACAUCCUUAACAACCCAUCCGAUAACGCGGCACUGUCGACCAGGUUCUUCCAACUUAUACAAACCAUGAAUCUGGAGAGCUACUCACGACUCAUUUCCUCCGACCAAGACGAAGACGUCAAGGCAGAGAAUAGGGCUUGCACAACGCUAUUGUCGCUCUUGAUGCUUGUUGGGAUCCUUACGUUGGGCGCAACGAUGUGGCAUGGGAACAGUUAAAGAACUGAAACCUGCGUAACAUCUUCGGUCCAGAUUCGAUGACCAGCGACAGCGACAGCGGACAGGACUGGAUGGCCGAUCGGUGGGUGGGUGACGUCGAAUGGGAGUUCUCUGGUCAUAAGUUGAAGGACGGCCGAUGAGGCAUGCGAUGACAGGAUUAUACGUUGGAUUCCGAAUGACGGACAAGUUGAUACCCGAAUUUGUUGGAUUGGAUGGUCGAGGACAAUCAUCGACGGGAUUGCUGGAGGACGAUGGCGUUUUUGGAGUUUUUCGAGGUUGAACAGCCCUGCGCUGACAGCGUCAGUGGACUUUGGCUUUUGACGGAGUUUUUAGCGGGCUCCAUUUGCUGCAUGCCAGGGCACCAAUGCGGGGAAGUGGAUUGAUCCAUAGCACAGGACUUGGCGUUUUAGGUGGGGCACCUUGACAUUAGCAUGUGCAGACCGCCUUUGGCAGAAUCAACAACGCUCCACUAAAAUUUUCUCGGA
Non-coding RNA from Neurospora crassa OR74A, 858 nucleotides. The record is from RefSeq and is a predicted model, not a curated record. NCBI's taxonomy places the organism in Eukaryota, Fungi, Ascomycota, Sordariomycetes, Sordariales, Sordariaceae.